CAGCAGCCACGGUAAUACGUAGGUGGCAAGCGUUGUCCGGAAUUAUUGGACGUAAAGGGCUCGCAGGCGGUUUCUUAAGUCUGAUGUGAAAGCCCCCGGCUCAACCGGGGAGGGUCAUUGGAAACUGGGAAACUUGAGUGCAGAAGAGGAGAGUGGAAUUCCACGUGUAGCGGUGAAAUGCGUAGAGAUGUGGAGGAACACCAGUGGCGAAGGCGACUCUCUGGUCUGUAACUGACGCAGAGGAGCGAAAGCGUGGGGAGCGAACAGGAUUAGAUACCCCCGUAGUCCCUGUCUCUUAUAC
RNAcentral lists this ribosomal RNA (301 nucleotides) under uncultured bacterium. RNAcentral's name for it is "partial 16S ribosomal RNA". It matches the Rfam family "Bacterial small subunit ribosomal RNA", at positions 509 to 807 of the family's 1533-position model. The record is from RNAcentral.